ACCUCUAGCAUUUCCAGUAUUAGAGGCACUGCCUGCCCAGUGACACUCGUUAAACGGCCGCGGUAUCCUGACCGUGCAAAGGUAGCAUAAUCACUUGUUCUCUAAAUAAGGACUCGUAUGAAUGGCCACACGAGGGUUUUACUGUCUCUUACUUCCAAUCCGUGAAAUUGACCUUCCCGUGAAGAGGCGGGAAUACAAAAAUAAGACGAGAAGACCCUAUGGAGCUUUAAUUAGUUAAUCCAAAGAGACUAACUUAUACCGACAGGAAUAACAAACCUCUGAAUGGAUUAACAAUUUAGGUUGGGGUGACCUCGGAGUACAAAAUAACCUCCGAACGAUUUAAAUCAAGACCUACCAGUCAAAAGUACUACAUCACUUAUUGAUCCAAAAACAUUUGAUCAACGGAACAAGUUACCCUAGGGAUAACAGCGCAAUCCUAUUCUAGAGUCCAUAUCGACAAUAGGGUUUACGACCUCGAUGUUGGAUCAGGACAUCCCGAUGGUGCAACAGCUAUCAAA
RNAcentral lists this ribosomal RNA (518 nucleotides) under Genetta pardina (West African genet). Its description in RNAcentral is "partial 16S ribosomal RNA". It matches the Rfam family "Bacterial large subunit ribosomal RNA", at positions 1818 to 2569 of the family's 2925-position model. The record is from RNAcentral. Lineage: Eukaryota; Metazoa; Chordata; Mammalia; Carnivora; Viverridae.